This 399-nucleotide unclassified non-coding RNA is filed under the name uncultured fungus. Its description in RNAcentral is "sequence contains ITS1". The stretch from base 1 to 106 matches the Rfam family "5.8S ribosomal RNA", at positions 50 to 154 of the family's 154-position model. Lineage: Eukaryota; Fungi. The record is from RNAcentral.
GAAAUGCGAUAAGCAAUGCGAAUUGCAGAAUUCUGUGAAUCAUCGGAUCUUUGAACGCACACUGCGCUUUCGGGAAAUGCCUGAGAGCAUGCCUGUUUCAGCGUCUUAAAGUACCCUCACUAAGCUGGUCUUUUUGUAACAAAAAAGCCUUGGAUUUUAGUGGAGAAUGAGGGUCAGGGAUCGCGCUCAGCGGUCUGUGUCGCUUGAAAUAUCUGGCAGAAGUUUCACAAUUCAAACGAAUUCCUACCGCCCGACUCAGUGCAGUAGUCACACUCCGUGUGACUCUCACUGAAUAAUGGGGUUUGUUUUUAGGACUCGUGUGGAGCUGCCGCGGCUAUUAUUAAUACUUUUUUUCUCAAUCGAGACCUGAAAUCAAGCAAGAGUACCCGCUGAAUUUAA